RNAcentral lists this ribosomal RNA (480 nucleotides) under uncultured bacterium. RNAcentral describes it as "partial small subunit ribosomal RNA". It matches the Rfam family "Bacterial small subunit ribosomal RNA", at positions 26 to 518 of the family's 1533-position model. The record is from RNAcentral.
AGGACGAACGCUGGCGGCGUGCCUAACACAUGCAAGUGGAGCGACGAACCAGGCUUCGGCCUGGGGCAAAGCCGCGAACGGGUGAGUAACACGUGGGUAACCUGCCCCGAUGACCGGGACAACCCGAGGAAACUCGGGCUAAUACCGGAUGUGUCCUCCGGCCAUAAGGCCGCUGGGGAAAGGAGCUUCGGCCUCCGCAUCGGGAUGGGCCCGCGGCCCAUUAGCUUGUUGGUGAGGUAACGGCUCACCAAGGCGACGAUGGGUAGCUGGUCUGAGAGGAUGAUCAGCCUCACUGGGACUGAGACACGGCCCAGACUCCUACGGGAGGCAGCAGUGGGGAAUAUUGGACAAUGGGCGCAAGCCUGAUCCAGCCAUGCCGCGUGGAUGAUGAAGGCCCUAGGGUUGUAAAGUCCUUUCGACGGGGAAGAUAAUGACGGUACCCGUAGAAGAAGCCCCGGCUAACUUCGUGCCAGCAGCCGC